GAUGAAGAACGCAGCGAAAUGCGAUAAGUAAUGUGAAUUGCAGAAUUCAGUGAAUCAUCGAAUCUUUGAACGCACAUUGCGCCCGCCAGCAUUCUGGCGGGCAUGCCUGUUCGAGCGUCAUUUCAACCCUUAAGCUCUGCUUGGUGUUGGGGCCCUACGGUUGACGUAGGCCCUUAAAGGUAGUGGCGGACCCUCUCGGAGCCUCCUUUGCGUAGUAACUAACGUCUCGCAUUGGGAUUCGGAGGGACUCUUGCCGUAAAACCCCCAAAUUUUCUAAUGGUUGACCUCGGAUCAGGUAGGAAUACCCGCUGAACUUAAGCAUAUCAAUAAGCGGAGGA
Molecule: unclassified non-coding RNA, 338 nt
Filed under: soil metagenome
Description: partial contains 5.8S ribosomal RNA, internal transcribed spacer 2, and large subunit ribosomal RNA
Rfam family: 5.8S ribosomal RNA (bases 1-120)
Source: RNAcentral